GACGAACGCUGGCGGCACGCUUAACACAUGCAAGUCGAACGAGAGAAGAGAAGCUUGCUCUUCUGAUCUAGUGGCGGACGGGUGAGUAACACGUGAGCAAUCUGCCUUUCAGAGGGGGAUACCGAUUGGAAACGAUCGUUAAUACCGCAUAACAUAAUUGAACCGCAUGAUUUGAUUAUCAAAGAUUUAUCGCUGAAAGAUGAGCUCGCGUCUGAUUAGCUAGUUGGUAAGGUAACGGCUUACCAAGGCGACGAUCAGUAGCCGGACUGAGAGGUUGAUCGGCCACAUUGGGACUGAGACACGGCCAGACUCCUACGGGAGGCAGCAGUGGGGAAUAUUGCACAAUGGAGGAAACUCUGAUGCAGCGAUGCCGCGUGAGGGAAGAAGGUUUUAGGAUUGUAAACCUCUGUCUUCAGGGACGAAAAAAGACGGUACCUGAGGAGGAAGCUCCGGCUAACUACGUGCCAGCAGCCGCGGUAAUACGUAGGGAGCGAGCGUUGUCCGGAAUUACUGGGUGUAAAGGGAGCGUAGGCGGGAUCGCAAGUCAGAUGUGAAAACUAUGGGCUUAACCCAUAAACUGCAUUUGAAACUGUGGUUCUUGAGUGAAGUAGAGGUAAGCGGAAUUCCUAGUGUAGCGGUGAAAUGCGUAGAUAUUAGGAGGAACAUCAGUGGCGAAGGCGGCUUACUGGGCUUUAACUGACGCUGAGGCUCGAAAGCGUGGGGAGCAAACAGGAUUAGAUACCCUGGUAGUCCACGCCGUAAACGAUGAUUACUAGGUGUGGGGGGACUGACCCCCUUCCGUGCCGCAGCAAACGCAAUAAGUAAUCCACCUGGGGAGUACGACCGCAAGGUUGAAACUCAAAGGAAUUGACGGGGGCCCGCACAAGCAGUGGAGUAUGUGGAUUAAUUCGAAGCAACGCGAAGAACCUUACCAGGUCUUGACAUCGUAUGCAUAGCUCAGAGAUGAGUGAAAUCUCUUCGGAGACAUAUAGACAGGUGGUGCAUGGUUGUCGUCAGCUCGUGUCGUGAGAUGUUGGGUUAAGUCCCGCAACGAGCGCAACCCUUACUGUUAGUUGCUACGCAAGAGCACUCUAGCAGGACUGCCGUUGACAAAACGGAGGAAGGUGGGGAGGACGUCAAAUCAUCAUGCCCCUUAUGACCUGGGCCUCACACGUACUACAAUGGCUGUCAACAGAGGGAAGCAAAGCCGCGAGGUGGAGCAAACCCCUAAAAGCAGUCUUAGUUCGGAUUGUAGGCUGCAACCCGCCUACAUGAAGUCGGAAUUGCUAGUAAUCGCAGAUCAGCAUGCUGCGGUGAAUAAGUUCCCGGGCCUUGCACA
This 1339-nucleotide ribosomal RNA is filed under the name uncultured bacterium. RNAcentral describes it as "bacterial SSU rRNA". It matches the Rfam family "Bacterial small subunit ribosomal RNA", at positions 28 to 1387 of the family's 1533-position model. The record is from RNAcentral.